Molecule: ribosomal RNA, 253 nt
Filed under: uncultured bacterium
Lineage: Bacteria
Description: partial 16S ribosomal RNA
Rfam family: Bacterial small subunit ribosomal RNA
Source: RNAcentral
UACGGAGGAUCCGAGCGUUAUCCGGAUUUAUUGGGUUUAAAGGGUGCGUAGGCGGCCUAUUAAGUCAGGGGUGAAAUACGGUGGCUCAACCAUCGCAGUGCCUUUGAUACUGAUGGGCUUGAAUCCAUUUGAAGUGGGCGGAAUAAGACAAGUAGCGGUGAAAUGCAUAGAUAUGACAUAGAACACCAAUUGCGAAGGCAGCUUACUACACAAUGAUUGACACUGAGGCACGAAAGCGUGGGGAUCAAACAGG